GAUGAACGCUGGCGGCGUGCCUAAUACAUGCAAGUCGAGCGAACAGACGAGGAGCUUGCUCCUCUGACGUUAGCGGCGGACGGGUGAGUAACACGUGGAUAACCUACCUAUAAGACUGGGAUAACUUCGGGAAACCGGAGCUAAUACCGGAUAAUAUAUUGAACCGCAUGGUUCAAUAGUGAAAGACGGUUUUGCUGUCACUUAUAGAUGGAUCCGCGCCGCAUUAGCUAGUUGGUAAGGUAACGGCUUACCAAGGCAACGAUGCGUAGCCGACCUGAGAGGGUGGUCGGCCACACUGGAACUGAGACACGGUCCAGACUCCUACGGGAGGCAGCAGUAGGGAAUCUUCCGCAAUGGGGGAAAGCCUGACGGAGCAACGCCGCGUGAGUGAUGAAGGUCUUCGGAUCGUAAAGCUCUGUUAUUAGGGAAGAACAAAUGUGUAAGUAACUAUGCAGGUCUUGACGGUACCGAAUCAGAAAGCCACGGCUAACUACGUG
This 497-nucleotide ribosomal RNA is filed under the name uncultured bacterium. RNAcentral describes it as "partial 16S ribosomal RNA". It matches the Rfam family "Bacterial small subunit ribosomal RNA", at positions 28 to 507 of the family's 1533-position model. The record is from RNAcentral.